This 381-nucleotide ribosomal RNA is filed under the name uncultured eukaryote. Its description in RNAcentral is "partial 18S ribosomal RNA". It matches the Rfam family "Eukaryotic small subunit ribosomal RNA", at positions 592 to 976 of the family's 1831-position model. The record is from RNAcentral.
CAAUAGCGUAUAUUAAAGCUGUUGCGGUUAAAAAGCUCGUAGUUGGAUUUCUGUCAAGGACAACUGGUCCGCCCCUCGGGUGAGCACAUAGUUUGGUCUUGGCAUCUUGUUGGAAACUGUUGCUGCACUUGGUUGUGUGGCGCAGUGUCCAGCACUUUCACUUUGAGGAAAUUGGAGUGUUUCAAGCAGGCACAUGCCUUUGGACACAGUAGCAUGGAAUAAUUAGAUUGGGCUUUUGCUCCAACUUGUCGGUUUCUGGAGCUGAGGUGAGAAUUAAUGGGGAUUGUUGGGGGCAUCCGAAUUUAGCCGUCAGAGGUGAAAUUCUUGGAUCUGCUAAAGACGGACAACUGCGAAAGCGUUUGCCCAGGAUGUUUUCAUUGA